This 328-nucleotide ribosomal RNA is filed under the name uncultured Ferruginibacter sp. RNAcentral's name for it is "bacterial SSU rRNA". It matches the Rfam family "Bacterial small subunit ribosomal RNA", at positions 568 to 898 of the family's 1533-position model. The record is from RNAcentral. Lineage: Bacteria; Pseudomonadati; Bacteroidota; Chitinophagia; Chitinophagales; Chitinophagaceae.
UGCGUAGGUGGGUUGGUAAGUCAGUGGUGAAAUCUCCGAGCUUAACUCGGAAACUGCCAUUGAUACUAUCAAUCUUGAAUCAUCUGGAGGUAAGCGGAAUAUGUCAUGUAGCGGUGAAAUGCUUAGAUAUGACAUAGAACACCAAUUGCGAAGGCAGCUUACUACGGGUGUAUUGACACUGAGGCACGAAAGCGUGGGGAUCAAACAGGAUUAGAUACCCUGGUAGUCCACGCCCUAAACGAUGGAUACUCGACAUCAGCGAUACACUGUUGGUGUCUGAGCGAAAGCAUUAAGUAUCCCACCUGGGAAGUACGACCGCAAGGUUGAA